RNAcentral lists this ribosomal RNA (532 nucleotides) under uncultured bacterium. RNAcentral describes it as "bacterial SSU rRNA". It matches the Rfam family "Bacterial small subunit ribosomal RNA", at positions 979 to 1509 of the family's 1533-position model. The record is from RNAcentral.
CCUUGACAUGUCCGGAAUCCUGCAGAGAUGCGGGAGUGCCUUCGGGAAUCGGAACACAGGUGCUGCAUGGCUGUCGUCAGCUCGUGUCGUGAGAUGUUGGGUUAAGUCCCGCAACGAGCGCAACCCUUGUCCUUAGUUGCCAGCACGUAAUGGUGGGAACUCUAAGGAGACCGCCGGUGACAAACCGGAGGAAGGUGGGGAUGACGUCAAGUCAUCACGGCCCUUACGGCCAGGGCUACACACGUACUACAAUGGGAGGUACAGAGGGUUGCGAAGCCGCGAGGCGAAGCCAAUCCCAGAAAACCUCUCUCAGUCCGGAUCGUAGUCUGCAACUCGACUACGUGAAGUCGGAAUCGCUAGUAAUCGCGAAUCAGCAUUGUCGCGGUGAAUACGUUCCCGGGCCUUGUACACACCGCCCGUCACACCAUGGGAGUUGGUUGCUCCAGAAGCAGGUAGUCUAACCGCAAGGGGGACGCUUGCCACGGAGUGGUCAAUGACUGGGGUGAAGUCGUAACAAGGUAGGCGUAGAUGA